RNAcentral lists this long non-coding RNA (750 nucleotides) under Olea europaea subsp. europaea. Lineage: Eukaryota; Viridiplantae; Streptophyta; Magnoliopsida; Lamiales; Oleaceae. The record is from RNAcentral.
CCGACCAUAACUCCAAUCGAUUUGACCAAAAAUUGAAGCCAAAAUAGGCUACCUAAAAUAUAUUUAAACAACAGAUUUAAUAAUUUUUUUUCACUGCCGUCUGUAAGUUAUUGAAUAUAUUUCUGAUUUGUUAAAAUUACCUUGUGGUGAUUGCACGGGGACGAGAAUAUCGAGAGGAUUAUUAUCAGGCCCGAUAGCUAAAGGAUUGGUUUCCUCCGGCACUUCUUCCCGGAUCCUCCCCAAGUUGUUCCCACUAUUAGCCACCAUGGGAACGUCGUUUUUCGAGCGGCUAUUGCUAUUUCCGAUUGGGGAUCCGGCGAGAACUAGAGCAUUGAAUUCUCUACUCAUGGUGGUGAAAUUUUCACUUUCAGUACUACUAGCCAUGGACAGAUUUGAUGAUCUGUGGCUACUCGUUUCCCAAGCAAUUUCUCUCUGAGGGGGUGGUGGCUGUAGGCGAGACGGGGUUAGUGCAUGGAUUUCUCUAAUUUGGGGUUUUGUAGGCGAGAUGGGGUUAGUGAAAUUUUUUUUAUUGAAUUUGUUGUUUAAAUAUGUUUUGGGUAGCCUAUUUUGGCUUCAAUUUUCAGCCAAAUUGAUUGGAGUUAUGGUCGGAGCUUGGGUGGGUUUCGAAGAGAGUAGUGAGGGCUUCAAGGUGAUAUAUUGGUCCGGCACUCAAGGUGAUCGAAGGGUGGAGUUUUGGUGGUGGUGGAGGAGGGGAGGAAGAGGGAGAGGAGAGAAGAAAGAGAUUAUUUU